UACGUAGGGUGCGAGCGUUAAUCGGAAUUACUGGGCGUAAAGCGUGCGCAGGCGGUUCGUCGUGUCCGAUGUGAAAGCCCCGGGCUCAACCUGGGAAUGCCAUUCGAGACUGCAUAGCUAGGGUGCGGAAGAGGGAAGCGGAAUUUCAGGUGUAGCGGUGAAAUGCGUAGAUAUCUGAAGGAACACCAGUGGCGAAAGCGGCUUCCUGGUCCAGCACCGACGUUCAGGCACGAAAGCGUGGGGAGCAAACAGG
Molecule: ribosomal RNA, 253 nt
Filed under: uncultured bacterium
Lineage: Bacteria
Description: partial 16S ribosomal RNA
Rfam family: Bacterial small subunit ribosomal RNA
Source: RNAcentral